ACAUUCUUUUGUCAGUGCAUAUACUAAAGUUGGAACAAUAUGGAGAAGGUCAGCAUAGCCUUGUGCAAAGAUAACAUGCAAACUCAUAAAGCAUUCCAUAUUUUU
This is a small nuclear RNA of Tupaia belangeri (northern tree shrew), 105 nucleotides long. The record is from Ensembl. NCBI's taxonomy places the organism in Eukaryota, Metazoa, Chordata, Mammalia, Scandentia, Tupaiidae.